Molecule: non-coding RNA, 4819 nt
Organism: Rattus norvegicus (Norway rat)
Lineage: Eukaryota; Metazoa; Chordata; Mammalia; Rodentia; Muridae
Source: RefSeq, a predicted model, not a curated record
ACAUAGAAGAUGUAAGAACUUCAGCUGUGGAGAUACCCAGAUGCUUUUCUAACUGAAAGAAUGCUAGCUAAUACUCCUUCCUUUUCAGAUAAUGGUAUUUUAUAGAAGACCCAAGACUACCUAUGAAUGACAUUAAGAUAUCAGUUCUGAAAAACAGUCUCUAAUAGUCCAUAACCUGUGUAUGGAAAGUGAGUGAGAUCUCCCCAGCUCAGGAGUCCCCCUCUAGAACACUGCAGAGUACAUUGUUCUGCAUCCUUCCCCAGUAUGCAAUGCUCAAUUCUAUCUGCUGGCUCUUUUCCAUUUAAAAUCAUUUUGGUGGAUAUCAUCUACAGAUUUUAAAUUUUCACUGGCUUGUUGAUACUGAAAUAGUAGUUGUCUGCAGGGUUCUCCCUGUCUCUGGGAAAUCCCUCCUCACCCCCAAGAGUAACCGGUACUACAAUCUCAAUGUUAUUAUAAGCAAACCCUACCUAGGAAAACAGUACUAUUUACAACACUCUGAGUCACAACAUCCCAUUAAAAUUUUCUCACAGAAGGAGCUUGAGUGAAAGAUUCACUACUAAUGAAGAGAAACAUUUUUUUCCACCUAGUCAAUCAGCCAUUUACUUUUGCAAUACAUAUUUGUUGCCUGUCUCCUCUUAUUGAAGGGCUAGGCCCUAUGAGAAGAGAAAGCCCAAGAGCCAAUUCUCUCCUUCAGUUAUUCUUUUUUUUCCAAAUCAGUCCAGUAUUAGUGGGGAAAACUGACACGGAGCCAUAUAGCUCUGGGAGCAAAAUGAGAUCAUGGAUGGAGUUGGAUAAUGAAUGGGCCUUCCUGGCUCUAGCUUAUAUGCCAGCUCAAGUAGCCUAUGAUGUCAUCUUUCCAGUCCCCGUCAGGUCUUACACUGGAGAAAGUGAUUGACAGACUGAGGUGAGUGGUAAGAAAUAACCACAAUAUCCAUUGAGAGGCAAAGACAAGAAGAUGAGAAAGAAGGUAUUAUCUGCUAUACCGAGUAGGAAUCAGUAUUUCCAGCUUGGAUUUACAGAGUCGUAAAUUUUAACAGAAUGCAGCUCUAGAUGGCAGUCUUGGUCACCUCAAUAAUGCCAUCAAACCACAAACCUAUCAGAGAAUUAAUACACAGUUUACAACAGAGCCCUCGGGACCAGAUCUAUCAACGGAGACCAAGCCUUAAGUCCAGGAGUCUUUCAGAGACACCUCCUACCCAAUUCAUAUCACAAGGUACAUACAAAGCCAUACAGUAAGUACUGUGUACUGAGCACUAUGGACUAAAUCUAUGCUGAAUCCAGUCCAGAAUGGAAGAAAGGAUAAUAAAUAUUUAUUGAAAUUUUCUUUUAUGCCAAGCACUAAAUCAAAUGUUUUAUAUGCAUUGUCUAAUUAAACCUCAUUAUUACCCAAUGAAGACCACAUUGUUAUCCUGGUUUUAUGCCUAAGUAUAUUAUCCUUCCUAAGAUUAUAGUACCUCUUUGAGAACAUUCUCACUAAUUACUUCAUCGAAUGCAAAUGCCCUUUUUGCUAUCUUGUCUCUUUAUCUAUGUCUUUCGUAAUCCUUCUCGCAUUUUUUUUUGUUUAUUUAUUGGAAUCUUUCUGUGUCUCUCUCACUUGUGUACUAUGCUCCAUGUGGCUGGGGGGGGGGACUGUGUGUAUCUUUUGUUUUGAUGCCUUAGUGGAGUCCCUAGACACAAAGUAGGGCCUAAAUGCUGGUUGGAUGAAUGAACAAGUCAGUGAAUUAGUAAAACUGAGCUGAAGAAGUUAAGUGACUUGUCCCAAGGUCAUAGAGCUAACGUCUGACAGAACUGACACAGGACAUGCCAUUGCCACUAGCUCACGCCAAGCACUAAGAACUCUUCCAAAGAUGAGUGAAUACCACAUGGGGCUCAAGGUAUAGACAUAGAUGCCUAUGCAGAGGAUUCAAAAACUGUGCCCCGAGAGGAAAGUCCUGUCCUCAGAUGCCAUCUAGAGCUACGUUCUGUGAAAAUUUAUGACCCUGUAAAUCCAAACUGGAAUUAUUGAGAUUCCUACUAGCUAUAGCAGAUAAUACUUUCUUACUCAUCUUCUGGCUGUGUAUGUGCCUUGUGAUAUGAAUGGGGUAGGAGGUAUCCCUGAAAGGCUCAUGUAUUUAAGGCUUGGUCUCCAGUUGAUGGAUCUGGUCUUGGUUGGGGAUUGGCUCACAAGGUUUCUGUUGUAAACUGUGUAUUAAUUCACUGCUAGGUUCAUGGCACGAUGGCACCGAGAUGACUGAGACUUAGAGGUAGAGCCUCCACAGAGGAAGUAGGUCACUGAAACAGGUCUGGGGACUGUACUUUGCCCUGGACUCCUUUCUGUCUGUGUCUGAAUCCUAUUUCCCAGGAACCUAACUGCUUCACUCUGCUUCCAGCAUGAUAGUCUGUAUCAGGUCCACAGCAACGGAGCAUGCUGACCAUGUAACCAAAACCUCUAAUACCAGAAGCCCAAACAAAUCCCGUCUCCUUCAAGUUGUUUCUUGCAGUUAUACAUUACAGUGACGAGUGCUAACACAGCAUAGUAGGGCUUCAGUAAACACAUGAUGCUGAUGGGUUACGACAAGACUGCGGCUGCCUGGUACCCCUCCCAUCUCAUCUCUAUUCACUCUCCGGCAGCACUGGGGGAGCUCAAAUUGCCCUCUUGGGCACAAACAUGUAAUAGCAAGUUAUACAUCACCCUCUGGACCCCAGAGUGAGUCCCCAUAGGAUAAUAUUGUUCCAGGCAGAAAUCAAGGGAAACUUGGUGCUGAUUUGUGCUGCAGUUGCUCGCAGUAUAAACAGAAACUCAGGGCUGGCCAGUCAGCACUUCUUUCCAGGCUCAGGGAAAAAUGCAGUUUCUUUUUUAAAAAGGAAGAUGAAAGAAGGGCAUUUUCAGCGCGAGCUGCAGCUCUUUAUAACACAAACUGCUCAGCCCAGGGGAACCGAAACAGACGAAGUGUAUGCAAAGUCAGAUAAUGAAUGGGGGCUUGGGCAAAAAAGAGAUGAUAAAAGCAAUUGCCUGCUUCUAUUUUUCCAUCCACAGUGAUAUUUGCUUGGCUCGAUCAGUUGCCUCAGUCACAGUGGCACCAAGCAUUUCCUGGAGAAGGUCUCAGCACCUCUGCAACCCCACAGUGGGUAUAAUAAAAUUUAUUACGUUUAAUUGAUUUGUAAAAUAAAAUGUCUAUUAAAGGUAAUUGUUGGGAACUCUAGGACCAUAUUUUAAAUUUACUUAUUAUGCACAGAGAGUAUAAGGCAGCACGUUUUCUGGCACACUGUAAAGUUCAGACAUACCCUGUCUAUUACUGCUGACACCAUGUUGGGCACACUGUUGAUAAGUAGAAGAAACACAGACUACGUGGAAAUGGUCCAGUUCUUGGCUGUCCCUUGCAGGUAUAGGCCAGUCAUUUGUACUGUUGGUCUCCCUGACAUCUGAGCCAUCAAAGAGUCACCGGCCUAUGUGAGCUAGCGAACCCUUGGUGCUCAAGGGCUGGAGUAUCUGAAGUUCUGAGAUGGCUGUCAAUCUACUGCUCAGACAGCCUGCUCCGUAGUCCCUGCAGGCUGCCAGUAUCAUAAACGUCAGGAACAUCUGCAAUUCACCAGGCAUAAUCAAGAAGGUAUUCUCAGAUGGGGAGAUAGCUUAUUCAAUAAAGUGCCUAUCAUGUGAGCAAGAACACGUGCGCUCAGUCAUUCAGCACCAAGGAGAAAGUCAGGCAUUGUGACAUAGCCUCAGGGGUUACGAUAGAUGGAUCUCUGAAGCUCAUUGGCUAGCCAGCCUAACCAAUCAGCCAGCUCCAGGUUCUAUGAACGCUCUCUCUCAAAAAAAUAAGAGAGAAGCUAUGGGGACAGACACUCUAUGAUGACCUCUGGUCACACAUGCACUAAAACACAAAUGUACACACUCAUCACUUGUGCACACACCCACAUGAAGUUGCACACUUAGAAAAAGGAAGUGUUCCUUUUUAUCCAUGCCACGAGUUGACUGCAGAGCCCACUGCUGCCCGUGUCGGUAGUCUCCAGAGACGCUGUACUAGCACAAGUCUAGUCUGGAACGAGAAGGUGGGAAAUUGGGAAAGCCAGGAGGUCAGGUAGGACUCCCACAAGGAGAUUCCAACAUUUCCCUCUGUCAAAGAAAAUAUAGAAGAAGAGCUCCUGGAUUCCUUAAAGGUCCUUGCCAAGAACAAAAGGUGCUACAAGGAGAAGGGGAUCCCCUGAAGGGGCAAUUUCUCUUUUAUAAUUUGUCCAGAGACAACUACAAGAAAGUGACUCAUGACACCGUGGACAAGCUGACACUUUGGGUGUUUUCCAAGCCCUCUGUGUCAUCUGCAGGAGAUUGCAGCUACCCCAGGAAGGAAACAGAACAUUAACUAUGGUAGUGGGGACAGACAGAAUCCUCUCUCCAUCCAUCUGGAUUCCGAGAACAACUUCUGGUGGUCUGUCUUGAAGAUCCUGGCCUACAUUUGCUUUCAGUGAUAAGGGUUUACUUAUUUCCACCCUGCUUCCAACUUCAGAGCUCCCUGACCCCGUGGUAGGACUGGUAUGAGAGAGAUAGCAAAGACCUGUUAAGGCAGGCAAGUGUUUUCAGUCUCCAAAAGCUUUACCCUUCAGUAAGAAACUACUGCAGAAUUUACAGAUAGAGCACCAUUAAAUAAAUCACUGGAAAGUCUAAACACAUUUGGAUCCACAGUGUUAAAGGAAAGGCAGAAUUUCUCACUCAUCUUCUCUGUAGAAAAUAUUACAAAAUCAUUGCUGUGUAAAAGAAUCAAUCAAGGAUUCUUAAGGCAGAAAUGUAGGGAAAUGAAUGUCAUAGAAAUGUUUUGAGCAAUUAUUAAAAAAUUUAAAAAAUGUU